UAUUGCGCAAUGGAGGGAACUCUGACGCAGCGACGCCGCGUGAGCGAUAAAGGUCNUCNNAUCGUNANGCUCUGUCCUUGGGGNNNNNGGUCUUCGGACUUGACGGUACCUAAGGAGGAAGCCCCGGCUAACUACGUGCCAGCAGCCGCGGUAAUACGUAGGGGGCAAGCGUUGUCCGGAAUUAUUGGGCGUAAAGGGUGCGUAGGCGGCCUUUUAAGUCAGAUGUGAAAGCCCACGGCUUAACCGUGGGACUGCAUUUGAAACUGGAGGGCUUGAGUAUCGGAGAGGGUAGUGGAAUUCCCAGUGUAGCGGUGGAAUGCGUAGAUAUUGGGAGGAACACCAGUGGCGAAGGCGACUACCUGGACGAAAACUGACGCUGAGGUGCGAAAGCGUGGGGAGCAAACA
Molecule: ribosomal RNA, 405 nt
Filed under: uncultured bacterium
Lineage: Bacteria
Description: partial 16S ribosomal RNA
Rfam family: Bacterial small subunit ribosomal RNA
Source: RNAcentral